GACGAACGCUGGCGGCGUGCCUAAUACAUGCAAGUUGAGCGCUCAAUCAUGAUACUUGUUCUCUCUAAAUUAGCGGCGGACGGGUGAGUAACACGUGGGCAAUCUGCCUGCAAGCCGGGGAUAACUUCGGGAAACCGGUGCUAAUACCGCAUAAUAACUUCAUACACAUGAUGUAAGUUUGAAAGGCGCAGUAACCUCCCGCUUACAGAAUCCCGCGUCGCAUUAGCUAGUUGUGGAGGUAACGGCUCACCAAGGCGACGAUGCGUAGCCGACCUGAGAGGGUGAUCGGCCACACUGGGACUGAGACACGGCCCAGACUCCUACGGGAGGCAGCAGUAGGGAAUCUUCCGCAAUGGACGAAAGUCUGACGGAGCAACGCCGCGUGAGCGAAGAAGGUCUUCGGAUCGUAAAGCUCUGUUGUCAGGGAAGAACAAGUACCGGUCGAACAGGGCGGUACCUUGACGGUACCUGACCAGAAAGCCACGGCUAACUACGUG
This 497-nucleotide ribosomal RNA is filed under the name uncultured bacterium. RNAcentral describes it as "partial 16S ribosomal RNA". It matches the Rfam family "Bacterial small subunit ribosomal RNA", at positions 28 to 507 of the family's 1533-position model. The record is from RNAcentral.